Molecule: ribosomal RNA, 522 nt
Filed under: uncultured bacterium
Lineage: Bacteria
Description: bacterial SSU rRNA
Rfam family: Bacterial small subunit ribosomal RNA
Source: RNAcentral
CAGGACGAACGCUGGCGGCGUGCCUAAUACAUGCAAGUCGAACGGUCUUUCUAUGGAAGCUUGCUUCCACUGAGAAGAUAGUGGCGAACGGGUGAGUAACACGUGGGUAACCUGCCCAUAAGAGGGGGGAUAACAUCCGGAAACGGGUGCUAAUACCGCAUAGUUUUCUUGAUCGCAUGAUCGGGAAAGGAAAGACGGCCUUUGUGCUGUCGCUUAUGGAUGGACCCGCGGCGUAUUAGUUAGUUGGUGAGGUAACGGCUCACCAAGACGAUGAUACGUAGCCGACCUGAGAGGGUGAUCGGCCACAUUGGGACUGAGACACGGCCCAAACUCCUACGGGAGGCAGCAGUAGGGAAUCUUCCGCAAUGGACGAAAGUCUGACGGAGCAACGCCGCGUGAGUGAAGAAAAGGUUUUCGGAUCGUAAAACUCUGUUGUCAGAGAAGAACAAGUUGGAGAGUAACUGCUCCAGCCUUGACGGUAUCUGACCAGAAAGCCACGGCUAACUACGUGCCAGCCGCCGC